This 309-nucleotide unclassified non-coding RNA is filed under the name plant metagenome. RNAcentral describes it as "partial contains 5.8S ribosomal RNA, internal transcribed spacer 2, and large subunit ribosomal RNA". The stretch from base 1 to 105 matches the Rfam family "5.8S ribosomal RNA", at positions 50 to 154 of the family's 154-position model. The record is from RNAcentral.
GAAAUGCGAUAAGUAGUGUGAAUUGCAGAAUUCAGUGCAUCAUCGAAUCUUUGAACGCACAUUGCGCCCCUUGGUAUUCCAUGGGGCAUGCCUGUUCGAGCGUCAUUUGUACCCUCAAGCUCUGCUUGGUGUUGGGUGUUUGUCCCGUCUCCGCGCGUGGACUCGCCCCAAAGUGAUUGGCAGCCGGCGUACUGGUCCCGGAGCGCAGCACAUGUCGCGCAAACGAGUGCCUUGGUACGGCGGCGUCCAUAAGCCCCUCUCUCACGCUCUUGACCUCGGAUCAGGUAGGGAUACCCGCUGAACUUAAGC